GACGAAGGGGGCUAGCGUUGUUCGGAAUUACUGGGCGUAAAGCGCGUGUAGGCGGUUGCCAAAGUCGGGUGUGAAAGCCUUGAGCUCAACUCAAGAAUUGCACUCGAUACUUGGUGACUAGAGGACCGGAGAGGAUAGUGGAAUUCCCAGUGUAGUGGUGAAAUGCGCAGAUAUCAGGAAGAACACCAAUGGCGAAAGCAGCUCUCUGGGACGGUACUGACGCUGAGACGCGAAAGCGUGGGGAGCGAACAGG
Molecule: ribosomal RNA, 253 nt
Filed under: uncultured bacterium
Lineage: Bacteria
Description: partial 16S ribosomal RNA
Rfam family: Bacterial small subunit ribosomal RNA
Source: RNAcentral